GCUUCGAUGGUCUAGUGGUUAAGAGGUUGGGUUGUGGCCCCAGAGGCCCCGGUUUGAAUCCUGGUUGAGGCA
Molecule: non-coding RNA, 72 nt
Organism: Orbicella faveolata
Lineage: Eukaryota; Metazoa; Cnidaria; Anthozoa; Scleractinia; Merulinidae
Source: the annotation of a RefSeq genome assembly